UGGGGAAUAUUGCACAAUGGGGGGAACCCUGAUGCAGCGAUGCCGCGUGGAGGAAGAAGGUUUUCGGAUUGUAAACUCCUUUUAUCAGGGACGAUAAUGACGGUACCUGAAGAAAAAGCUCCGGCUAACUACGUGCCAGCAGCCGCGGUAAUACGUAGGGAGCGAGCGUUGUCCGGAAUUACUGGGUGUAAAGGGAGCGUAGGCGGGAUUUUAAGUCAGAUGUGAAAGGUAAGGGCUCAACCCUUGAACUGCAUUUGAAACUGAGAUUCUUGAGUGAAGUAGAGGUAAGCGGAAUUCCUAGUGUAGCGGUGAAAUGCGUAGAUAUUAGGAGGAACAUCGGUGGCGAAGGCGGCUUACUGGGCUUUUACUGACGCUGAGGCUCGAAAGCGUGGGGAGCAAACAGG
This 404-nucleotide ribosomal RNA is filed under the name uncultured bacterium. RNAcentral's name for it is "bacterial SSU rRNA". It matches the Rfam family "Bacterial small subunit ribosomal RNA", at positions 355 to 776 of the family's 1533-position model. The record is from RNAcentral.